CCCUGCUCGCUCAGCGGAUCGGGAACUCACCCGACCGCCAGGCUCCACAAGCGUAUGCUCUCCCAAGUGAACAAUGGGAGAGUACAAGCUGGAUUUCAGUUUUUUCUCCAUGUAUUCUUUCAAUGUAUUUUGCCACAGUGCCUGCCAACAGUGUCUGCCAAACAAAUACUUACAUGCAGGCAUUAAAGGAGAUUAUGUCUUUGUACCUUACUCAGGGUCUAUACCCUAUACAGGGUCAUACCAUAUUACUAUACCCUGCACAGGGUCAUACUAUAUUACUAUAUCCUACAGGAAUCACCCGAUCACCGCGCCCUGCAUCUGGAUUAACCCCUUCAGGGAUCCCCCUCUCUGGGCACAUUCAUU
Molecule: non-coding RNA, 363 nt
Organism: Pelobates cultripes (western spadefoot toad)
Lineage: Eukaryota; Metazoa; Chordata; Amphibia; Anura; Pelobatidae
Source: the annotation of a GenBank genome assembly